This 791-nucleotide ribosomal RNA is filed under the name uncultured bacterium. Its description in RNAcentral is "bacterial SSU rRNA". It matches the Rfam family "Bacterial small subunit ribosomal RNA", at positions 8 to 796 of the family's 1533-position model. The record is from RNAcentral.
AGAGUUUGAUCAUGGCUCAGAUUGAACGCUGGCGGCAUGCCUUACACAUGCAAGUCGAACGGCAGCACGGGGGCAACCCUGGUGGCGAGUGGCGAACGGGUGAGUAAUACAUCGGAACGUGUCCUGUAGUGGGGGAUAGCCCGGCGAAAGCCGGAUUAAUACCGCAUACGAUCUACGGAAGAAAGCGGGGGAUCGCAAGACCUCGCGCUAUAGGGGCGGCCGAUGGCAGAUUAGCUAGUUGGUGGGGUAAAGGCCUACCAAGGCGACGAUCUGUAGCUGGUCUGAGAGGACGACCAGCCACACUGGGACUGAGACACGGCCCAGACUCCUACGGGAGGCAGCAGUGGGGAAUUUUGGACAAUGGGGGAAACCCUGAUCCAGCAAUGCCGCGUGUGUGAAGAAGGCCUUCGGGUUGUAAAGCACUUUUGUCCGGAAAGAAAACCUUCGAGUUAAUACCUUGGGGGGAUGACGGUACCGGAAGAAUAAGCACCGGCUAACUACGUGCCAGCAGCCGCGGUAAUACGUAGGGUGCGAGCGUUAAUCGGAAUUACUGGGCGUAAAGCGUGCGCAGGCGGUUCGUUAAGACAGAUGUGAAAUCCCCGGGCUUAACCUGGGAACUGCAUUUGUGACUGGCGAGCUAGAGUAUGGCAGAGGGGGGUAGAAUUCCACGUAGCAGUGAAAUGCGUAGAGAUGUGGAGGAAUACCGAUGGCGAAGGCAGCCCCCUGGGCCAAUACUGACGCUCAUGCACGAAAGCGUGGGGAGCAAACAGGAUUAGAUACCCUAGUAGUCC